This 238-nucleotide ribosomal RNA is filed under the name uncultured bacterium. Its description in RNAcentral is "partial 16S ribosomal RNA". It matches the Rfam family "Bacterial small subunit ribosomal RNA", at positions 15 to 236 of the family's 1533-position model. The record is from RNAcentral.
GAUCAUGGCUCAGGAUGAACGCUAGCUACAGGCUUAACACAUGCAAGUCGAGGGGAAACGAUAUUGGAAGCUUGCUUCCGAUAGGCGUCGACCGGCGCACGGGUGAGUAACGCGUAUCCAACCUGCCCACCACUUGGGGGAUAACCUUGCGAAAGUAAGACUAAUACCCAACUGAUAUCUCUAGAAGACAUCUGAAAGAAGAUUAAAGAUUUAUUCGGUGGAUGGAUGGGGAGUGCGU